UCAUUUAGAGGAAGGAGAAGUACCGGCCCAGUUUCGGUUGGAUCAUACGCAUAGCUUCCGGAUAUCACCAAACCCCGGCACGAAAAGUGUCAAGGAACAUUCAACUAAACGGCCUGCUUUCGCCAACCCGGAGACGGUGUUUGUUCGGAAGCAGUGCUGCAAUGUAAAGUCUAAAACGACUCUCGGCAACGGAUAUCUCGGCUCUCGCAUCGAUGAAGAACGUAGCGAAAUGCGAUACUUGGUGUGAAUUGCAGAAUCCCGUGAACCAUCGAGUCUUUGAACGCAAGUUGCGCCCCAAGCCUUCUGGCCGAGGGCACGUCUGCCUGGGUGUCACAAAUCGUCGUCCCCCCAUCCUCUCGAGGAUAUCGGACGGAAGCUGGUCUCCCGUGUGUUACCGCACGCGGUUGGCCAAAAUCCUAGCUAAGGAUGCCAGGAGCGUCUUGACAUGCGGUGGUGAAUUCAAUUCUCGUCAAAUCGUCAGUCGUUUCGGUCCGAAAGCUCUUGAUGACCCAAAGUCCUCAACGCGACCCCAGGUCAGGCGGGAUCACCCGCUGAG
This 556-nucleotide ribosomal RNA is filed under the name embryophyte environmental sample. RNAcentral's name for it is "eukaryotic LSU rRNA". The stretch from base 178 to 333 matches the Rfam family "5.8S ribosomal RNA". Lineage: Eukaryota; Viridiplantae; Streptophyta. The record is from RNAcentral.